Non-coding RNA from Doryrhamphus excisus (bluestripe pipefish), 995 nucleotides. NCBI's taxonomy places the organism in Eukaryota, Metazoa, Chordata, Actinopteri, Syngnathiformes, Syngnathidae. The record is from RefSeq and is a predicted model, not a curated record.
AUGGAGCAGAAGCGGGAUGCGUCUUUUCCACCAGACACUGACGAAGCAGCAGAAGAGGCAAAUUGUGCCUUCUGGCUUGCUGCAGUGAGCCCUGCGUCUUGACCAACAAGAAAGGGAGCAGAUUGUGCUUCCUCUAACGCACAGCAGAUGGCACCAUCUGGUGAAGGGGUGUCACACAGUAUGUUGAUACAAUACGUUGCCUAUUCUCCCUAGUCCUCUCCCUGGUCCUCUCCCUAGUCCUCUCCCUAGUGCUCAGUGUAGUUGCAUGUAGGUGUACACAGAUAUUUUUUGAAGUCGUUGCUCAGUUAUUUGUGUAAUGAUUUCAGUUUGUUCAUGUGGAACAAAAAACAGUGUACCUGUUAGAUCCGAGUGGAUAUGCUGCAGAAAAGAAGGCGUCAAAAAUGGCUGUAAACAAAACUAAAGUAAAUAUUUAUGCUUACAACUCACAUUAUGUAAAAUAAUACAUGUUUUUCCAGGGAAUACCUGCACAUGAGAAGGGUGCGCCACAAAGCAAAAGACUGGAUUGAUAUUGAUUGGGAAGGGGCGGUGAUGAAACAUCCACUGCAAAAGGAUGGAAGCAGUUGUGGUGUCAUCGUAGCCAAGGUAAUUUACGGGAUACAAUUGAGCAUAAUUGGACUUGAAACCUACUCUAUUAACAAAAUUAUGUCUAGAUGGCAAAGGAAAUUAUUCAGACGUUUCUAAGGAUCCCCAAUAUAAUGUUUUCUACAACGACAGACAGCAUGAGAACUGAAAGAAAAACAAUGGCCCUUGAACUUCUGCAGGGAUCAGUUUUCCAAAUGGAUUCCUGGUGUGUGAUCUGUGCCUCCAAAGACCCACCUACAUCUACUGCUGCCACAGCUACAUAGACUGUGAAGAGUGAUACUGGUUGGAUUUAAUGUGACAUAUGUGACCGGUGGUUUCACGGGGAAUGCGUUGGAAUAAAAAUUGACGAUCUCAAGAAAGCGGAAGAUAAUCACUGGCUUUGUCCUCUGUGC